GAUGAACGCUGGCGGCGUGCCUAAUACAUGCAAGUCGAGCGAACAGACGAGGAGCUUGCUCCUCUGACGUUAGCGGCGGACGUGUUAGUAACACGUGGAUAACCUACCUAUAAGACUGGGAUAACUUCGUGAAACCGGAGCUAAUACCGGAUAAUAUAUUUAACCGCAUGUUUCAAUAGUGAAAGACUGUUUUGCUGUCACUUAUAGAUUGAUCCGCGCCGCAUUAGCUAGUUGGUAAGGUAACGGCUUACCAAGGCGACGAUGCGUAGCUGACCUGAGAGGGUGAUCGGCCACACUGGCACUGAGACACGGUCCAGACUCCUAAGGGAGGCAGCAGUAGGGAAUCUUCCGCAAUGGGCGCAAGCAUGACGGAGCAACGACGCGUGAGUGAUGAAGGUCUUCGGAUCGUAAAACUCUGUUAUUAGGGAAGAACAAAUGUGUAAGUAACUAUGCACGUCUUGACGGUACCUAAUCAGAAAGCCAGGGCUAACUACGUG
This 497-nucleotide ribosomal RNA is filed under the name uncultured bacterium. RNAcentral's name for it is "partial 16S ribosomal RNA". It matches the Rfam family "Bacterial small subunit ribosomal RNA", at positions 28 to 507 of the family's 1533-position model. The record is from RNAcentral.